CGGGGGGAGCAAGCGUUGUUCGGAUUUACUGGGCGUAAAGGGCGCGUAGGCGGCACCGCAAGUCGACUGUGAAAUCUCCGGGCUUAACUCGGAAAGGUCAGCCGAUACUGCGGGGCUAGAGUGCAGAAGGGGCAACUGGAAUUCUCGGUGUAGCGGUGAAAUGCGUAGAUAUCGAGAGGAACACCUGCGGCGAAGGCGGGUUGCUGGGCUGACACUGACGCUGAUGCGCGAAAGCUAGGGGAGCGAACGGGAUUAGAUACCCCGGUAGUCCUAGCCUUAAACGAUGAAUGCUUGGUGUCUGGGGUUUUAUAGUCCCCGGGUGCCGUCGCUAACGCUUUAAGUCAUUCCGCCUGGGGAGUUCGGUCGCAAGACU
Molecule: ribosomal RNA, 373 nt
Filed under: uncultured organism
Description: bacterial SSU rRNA
Rfam family: Bacterial small subunit ribosomal RNA
Source: RNAcentral